This 28-nucleotide non-coding RNA is filed under the name Mus musculus (house mouse). RNAcentral also lists the same sequence under 1 other name. The record is from RNAcentral. Lineage: Eukaryota; Metazoa; Chordata; Mammalia; Rodentia; Muridae.
UGUUUCACCGUACUCUUAUCAGGAGACC